UGAGGAAUAUUGCACAAUGGGCGCGAGCCUGAUGCAGCAACGCCGCGUGCGGGACGACGGCCUUCGGGUUGUAAACCGCUUUUCUGAGGGACGAGCGAGGACGGUACCUUAGGAAUAAGUCUCGGCUAACUACGUGCCAGCAGCCGCGGUAAGACGUAGGAGGCGAGCGUUAUCCGGAUUUACUGGGCGUAAAGCGCGCGCAGGUGGCCGUGUAAGUUGGACGUGAAAGCUCCUGGCUUAACUGGGAGAGGUCGUUCGAUAUUGCGGGGCUUGAGGUUGGGAGAGGGGUGUGGAAUUCCCGGUGUAGUGGUGGAAUGCGUAGAUAUCGGGAGGAACACCUGAGGCGAAGGCGGCACCCUGGCCCACACCUGACACUGAGGUGCGAAAGCGUGGGGAGUAAACAG
Molecule: ribosomal RNA, 404 nt
Filed under: uncultured bacterium
Lineage: Bacteria
Description: bacterial SSU rRNA
Rfam family: Bacterial small subunit ribosomal RNA
Source: RNAcentral